GGAAGUACCCACUGGACCAACUCAGGGUACCAGACCAGAAGAUCAGAUCGUAGAAGUUACUGGAGAAAAAGAUCAGCGGACAGCACUCUUGAACUACAUGCCAGGCCUCUUCUUCCUGGAACUCUAAUGGAUUUAAAUGGCUUAAGAGACGGGAUGAAUUGUUGAAAAUGGUUCUUUCAAAAGACCUCACGGAAGGCCAAAGACAAGACUCACUGAGGCCAAGCUGAUCAACAAUAUCUAUAAGUUGACGCAUUCUAAUCAUGUGGCGAUCUUGACCUUGGGAGCUUGAUUUGUGGACCAGUGUCCCCAAGAAGAUGACCAUCAGACAGAUGACAAUCCUCUCCAUGUUGCCAGGACUGGAUCUCAUAAGUACCAACAGUAGAGCUAGACCUUGGUCUCGUUUUCACUUCAGCUUGACUGAGAACAGGUAUACGUGUGCAUGUGCUAAUGUGUGGGGGCAGGGAUUGAUGGAGUCAACGAAAUGUGCCCCAUCUGCAUCUUUGACAGGAAAAAGAGAGAAUGGGUGAAUUCCAAUUUUCAGCAUGAAUCAAGAAUGUCACCGAUGAAGUUUUUGAAUGCUGUGCUCCUAAUCUCAUUUUCCUGUAAGCAUCCUCCAGAGACUUCGGUGAAGGAUGAUGCAAACUGUGUUUCUUCAGCAUGUGAGCACCAUCAGCCAUGAGUGUGGCAGCUCCAGAAUGUCUAUACCAGAGUGGCUGAGAGUCAGCAACUUGGCUGGAAGCUACACUUGAAUAGCAAACAAACCACUUUUACUUAGUUUCCAUGUCUAUUUGGUACCUUGGAGUACAGUGAUGAGUUUUACUAGAUGUGGACUUUCCAGGAAUAUAGCCAAGGUCGUCACCAUGAAAGUAUGAAACUUUAGUCAUUUACCCAAGGGGAUUCAUGGACAUAUAUUAAGAAUUUUCUUUAAUGGACUGUGUUUAUAGAACACCUGGUCAGGACGGAAAUGAGGCCAGGGAACUAAAGGGGUAGAAGUCUGAAGAGGAAUGGUUUUGCAUGGGAAAACUGUGCCAGGUCUAAAACUGGGCUGAACACUAUUUGUCCCCAACUCUCUGGCCCGGUCCUCAUAGUUCUUUCUGUGAUCCCUGCGUGGUGAAUACUCCUUUUCUGCUUUCACUGGCUUUGGCCCCUCAUGGAUAGAAUUAGAUGUUCUGCAUGGCAAACUGUGGGAAGAGAGGCCUCCAGUGUUUAGAGUGAUAUUAUCAUGUGUACCACUACUAUUAUACAUACUAAAGGUAUUCAGACAGGUGGCUUGUCUCUGGGCUUUAUAUAGAUCUCUGUCAAGCUAGAAGAAAAAUGUCACUAAAAUAAUUCAAGACAAUUUUUGUACUUUCCAACGAUGUUCAGGUAACAGCUGAAAAUAUUCUCACUUAUUUGACUUGAGGAAGAAAAUUCGAACGAGGAAAAUCAUCAAGGAUUUGCUAAAGUCCCUUCUGUAAAAUCUUCCUUAAGGAAGUUUAAACACUCCUAUUCUCUCUUCUCUCAUUCUUUUGAACUCACUGCAUGUAUUGAUAUCACUGACUUGGUUUGUUUUCUAGAAUAUAUGUAAAAGUAAGAGUGUGUAUAUAUAACCCAUUAUGUACAUAACAAGAACAGUUCCUUCC
Homo sapiens (human) is the source of this 1622-nucleotide long non-coding RNA. Ensembl annotates it as IL21 antisense RNA 1. Its record names the gene IL21-AS1. NCBI's taxonomy places the organism in Eukaryota, Metazoa, Chordata, Mammalia, Primates, Hominidae. The record is from Ensembl.